ACCUGAACUCAUAAUUGUUCUUUCAAGAGUCGCUUUUUCUUUUUGAUUGAAAGAUUUGUCUUAGAAUAAUUACUUAUCUUAACUGCUCACUUAAUAAUGAUUCUAGGUAGAGAAGUUGCGAAACUUUGAUGCUUAGACUUCCUUCAGGACCUAAUAUAUGAUAGUUUGGUAAUUUUUCAUGAUAUGUGGCAAACUACGACCCUAUUGGCAUGUUUGAAGUAGCAAUCAUACUAUUCAUUUUGUUUUUCUUGUUUGAAGAACUUCUUUGACCCUAUUGGCUUGGACAAACAUACAUUCUGCUUGAAGCUCAGACACUAACCAGCAAUGACCAUUGUUAAAAGUAAUCUUUAUUUCUUACUCAUGCCAUUGGAACUUUCCUUUCCUUGGCCUUUAAUUUGUGGUUUCUAACAUCUUGACCUACUUGCAGCUUAGGUGUUCUUACUUGUUAGAACCAUUUGAAAAUUGAUGAUAAAAAGACCUGCAUAAUUAUGAUGAUGUUAAAAUGGUUGCGAUUCGCAAAUUUAAGCAUUAUCAAUGUAUGUGAAGUAUCUGCGGUUCAAUUUUUGAUCAAGCACUUGCACCCAAGUUUUUUCACUUCUGUGGUAAGUGAUUCAUUUCUCCUUUUCAUAGAAAUGUUGUGUUCUGAUUUUCUUGUUUCAAUUGGCUGCAUGUAAGUUAGUUUGUCUUCCACGAAGAGUAUGAUCUCUUCUUCUUUUUUUCUCCUUUUUCAAGGCAAAAAGAGGCAUAUGUCUAUUAAACUAAUCAAGUUAUUUUCUCGAUUUCUUUUCUUUCUCAUUUAUUCUAAGUGUCCACAUAAUAGGACUAGCGGAGGCACAGUUUAUUUGAUUUUUCACAUUGGAAUUGCAUUACUUCUCCUGUGUGACCCUAGUAUUUAUACCUUUUUAUAGGCAUCAUAGUGUUCAAGCUUCCUUUUUUUUCUUGCAAUUUGUUAUUAAUCUUAUCUCACAUAAUUAUACUGUGGUAUGCUGAAGGCGAAACAGGAAAUUUCUAGACAGGGCACAAUCUCAAAAUUCACCUUUCAAAAGCAUAUUUAGCAUCGACUUACACUCCUUGGUAGGGGCUAGAGUGAUUUGUUGCAGGUUGGGAUAAAUUGAUAGUCACUCAACCUAAAGCUUAUUUGUAAAACUGAAAUAAGUAUACCAAGCUUGACGAUUGGAUCUGCAGCAUCGAAAAGACUGAACUGGUUGAUAUGUUAAUAUUUUGUUUCUUGCUUAAAAAGCGAGGAGUCAGGAGAUUGAGCAAACAUACUGUUGCCUUCAUAAGAUGUAACUUAGAAACACAAAGCAUUAGACUGAGAUAAGCUUACCGGUAACACCUUCUUUUUCUUUCUUUCUUUCUUUUUCUUCUUUUUCAAGAAGGAGAAGAUAAGUAUAUGGUGAGGAAAAUCCACUUAUAUCAGGACAAGGCAACAGGGUAUUAUGAAUCAGUGAUGAAAUCAAUGCCUCCUGCUGCCAAUUUGUUGAAGGAAUAUUUGAGUGUAGAAGAGUUCCAUUCUGUCCUCUACAUGGCAUCUUUUUUCUGGAAUGGAGGCCACAAUUGAGUAUCACUUGUAGCCUCGUCAUGCAGAUGGAGGGAUAACAAUUCCAACUGAGAAAGGGAUCAAGCCCGCUGAACCAGAUGGAUGUAUCAAAAUUUUAUCAGCAUUGCUCGAAUUCAAUUGGUACUGAGGUGAGUGCAGCAAUGAAAGAAUUCUGUAUCAGUGGGAAAUAUGCUGAAAGCAAUUAAUGAUUCGUCUCUUUCAUUAGUUUCUAUAGUUAAAGCUCCAAACGUUUUGCAGGAUUCUCCCCUAUUGCCUGUUGCAUUGAAAUAUGUAAAUGCAUAUCUAGGGUAUAUUCAAAUAGAAUACAGAAGGCGAUUAAGAAUUUGGUUCAGUUUGCACUAUAAGGAAUUGAAAAUUUGCUAAUAUUCAAUAGACUCAAGAAUUGCUUCAAAAUUAUCACAGGGCUCAAAUUCCUUCAAAAGCAACUAUCAAGAUAGAUUUGCUGGUAGCAUACAACUCAAUUCUUAAAGAUAUCAAGAUACAACUCACUGCUAAGAAGGUAUUUGACUUCUUUUCAAAAUUCAAAUAAUUGAAGAACUCUAGGUUUGCAGAUGACCUCUUACUCUUUUGUGAUGAGAAUUUAACUAACUCAGGAUUUUGCUAUUCAAAUCAGAAGCUUUGUGGGUUUGUUGGAUUGUCAGAAUAUGGUUAAAGGAUCAAUAUAUUUAGAGUGUUAAAACUAUUUUAUGCCAGUCUACAUGUGUCUUGCUAGUGUUGCUUUGUCAGGGUAAACAGUUGGAGUCAUAUGGUCUAAUUAUAAAUAAAUAUUGCCUCUGUUUUGCGUAUGUAUUUUUCUCUUGCAACAGAUGGCUAAUCUGACAAACAUUCAAGAAUGCUGGAAUAGGGGUUUGACUGUUCUACAAUAAGGUCCUAGCAUUGGAAACAAAAAUGAGCUGAUAAGUCACAUUCGCAGAUGACAGCUCCUGCAUGUUCUGAAGACAACAAGAAGAAUGUAGUAACACGAAGACAUGA
Molecule: non-coding RNA, 2533 nt
Organism: Musa acuminata subsp. malaccensis (wild Malaysian banana)
Lineage: Eukaryota; Viridiplantae; Streptophyta; Magnoliopsida; Zingiberales; Musaceae
Source: RefSeq, a predicted model, not a curated record